Molecule: ribosomal RNA, 292 nt
Filed under: uncultured bacterium
Lineage: Bacteria
Description: partial 16S ribosomal RNA
Rfam family: Bacterial small subunit ribosomal RNA
Source: RNAcentral
GUGCCAGCCGCCGCGGUAAUACGGAGGGUCCGAGCGUUAUCCGGAUUCACUGGGUUUAAAGGGUGCGCAGGCGGUCUGGUAAGUCAGCGGUGAAAGCCUUCGGCUCAACCGGAGAAUUGCCAUUGAAACUACUAGACUUGAGUGUAGUUGAGGUGGGCGGAAUGUAGCAUGUAGCGGUGAAAUGCAUAGAUAUGCUACAGAACACCGAUAGCGAAAGCAGCUCACCAGACGACAACUGACGCUGAGGCACGAAAGCAGGGGUAGCAAACAGGAUUAGAUACCCGGGUAGUCC